GAUGAAGAACGCAGUGAAAUGCGAUAAGUAAUGUGAAUUGCAGAAUUCAGUGAAUCAUCGAAUCUUUGAACGCACAUUGCGCCCGUCAGUAUUCUGGCGGGCAUGCCUGUUCGAGCGUCAUUACGCCCCUCAAGUCCCCUGUGGACUUGGUGUUGGGGAUCGGCGAGGCUGGUUUUCCAGCACAGCCGUCCCUUAAAUUAAUUGGCGGUCUCGCCGUGGCCCUCCUCUGCGCAGUAGUAAAACACUCGCAACAGGAGCCCGGCGCGGUCCACUGCCGUAAAACCCCCCAACUUUUUAUAGUUGACCUCGAAUCAGGUAGGACUACCCGCUGAACUUAAGAAUAUCAAUAAGCGGAGGA
Molecule: unclassified non-coding RNA, 358 nt
Filed under: soil metagenome
Description: partial contains 5.8S ribosomal RNA, internal transcribed spacer 2, and large subunit ribosomal RNA
Rfam family: 5.8S ribosomal RNA (bases 1-120)
Source: RNAcentral